GCUCCCAUAGCUUAGCUCAAAGCAUGGCACUGAAGAUGCCAAGACGGCGCCCACAUUCCCCUGGGAGC
RNAcentral lists this transfer RNA (68 nucleotides) under Penelopina nigra. Its description in RNAcentral is "tRNA-Phe". It matches the Rfam family "tRNA". From Rfam's summary of the family: Transfer RNA (tRNA) molecules are approximately 80 nucleotides in length. Their secondary structure includes four short double-helical elements and three loops (D, anti-codon, and T loops). Lineage: Eukaryota; Metazoa; Chordata; Aves; Galliformes; Cracidae. The record is from RNAcentral.